AUGGCCGCGCAGGCCCCCGAGGGCGAGGGGCCGGCCCCCGCCCGCCCAUCGCGCAUCCGCGUCAUGCGCCCGGAGGUGGAGGAGGUCCUCAAGAGCCCCCGCCGCGGCCGCGCCAAGCUGCACAAGGAGGGCGGCGGCGAGGAGGACGACGCCGGCGCGCGCCCGCGGUACGACUGCGCGUUCCAGGACGAGGAGGGGCAGCAGGGGUUCGCGCCGCCCGACGUGGUGUGGUGCAAGGUGCGGAGCCACCCCUGGUGGCCGGCCCAGGUCUUCGACGCCGCCGACGCCUCCGAGCUCGCGCUCCGGCACGCCAGGCCGGGGGUGCCCCUCGUCGCCUACUUCUGGGACCGGACUUUCGCCUGGAUGGACCCCCCCGCGCUGCGCCCCUUCCGCGCCCACUUCCCCCGCCUCGCCGCCCAGAGCACCGUCUCCAGCUACGUCGCCUCCGUCGACGCCGCCCUGCAGGAGGUCACCCGCCGCAUCGAGGCCGGCCUCUCCUGCACCUGCUCCCCGCCCGCCGUCGCCAGGAAGCAGCAGAUUCACAACUCCGGGAUCAGGGAAGGGGCCUACGGCGCCGUGGUGGACGAGGUGUACAUGAGGGACACGUUCCGUGCCAAGCCCUUCAUCGACUACAUUUCGGCGCUGGGGAGGAGCCCGCUGGCCGGCGCCGAUCGUCUCGACCUUGCCACCGCCAUGGCACAGCUCAGGUCAUUCAACCGGUUGAGGUGUCCAAUGGAGCUCCCUGAGUUUGUCAUCUACCAGGGGAUUGAGGACGUUGCUGCUGCUGUUGCUCCUGAGGCUGAGGCUGAGGCUGAUGCUGAUGUGGCAGCAACAUCGCCGCAGACAAAGAGGAAGAGGACGGAGGAGAAGGGCGGCGAUGCUCCGACCAAGGAGGAGAAGAAAUCGAGGAGGCGUGGCGAGAGCUCGUCGCCCAAGAGAGAUACUGCUGCAAAGGAACCAGAAGUGGCCAUUGAUGUUGAGAACAGCACUCCUAUGCCCAUGGACAGGAUCAUGGACACCUCCGAAGAUGCAGCGGAUAAGGGAGAAGCUCCUGCAAACAAAGAUGCUGACAUGGUUGUUGAGGACACCCCUCCUAUGCCCAGUACCAAGCAAAGGAAGUCAAAGAGAGGUAGCAAGGCUUCAGCUGAGAAAAAGAAGAAAGACACCCCCAAAGACACUGCAGAUAAGGGCGAGUCUCUGCCAGAGGCAGAGCCUGCCAAAGAAGAUGAUGUGAAUGAGGACAGCUCUAUGCCGAGUGUGGAGGCGACAGAUGAUACAUUGAGCAAGCAAAGGAAGUCGAAGAGAGUUAGCAAGAGUGCAGCAGAGAGCAAGAAGAAAGACGCCUCCAAAGACACGGCAGAUAAGGGCGAGUCUCUACCAGAGGCAGAGCCUGCAAAACAAGAUGAUGUGGAUGAGGACAGCUCUAUGCCCAGCAGCGGGGCGGCAGAUGAUAUGUCGAGCAAGGGAAGUAAGUCAAAGAGAGCUACUAGGAGUUCAGCAAAGACGAAGAAGAACGACACCUCCAAGGACACAGACAAGACAGACUUUGUAACUGAGCCUGCAAAGGAAGUGGCCGAGAACGAGGACAGCUCUAUGCCCAGUUCAGAGGCGGCAGAUGAUACAGUGAGCAAGGGAAGAAAGUCAAAGAAAAGUAAGGGUUCGGCAAAGACGAAGAAGAAAGAUGCAGAUAAGAAAGAGUCUCUACCAGAGCCUGCAAAGGAAGUUGCCGAGAAUGAGGACAGCUCUAUGCCCAGUGCAGAGGCGACAGAUGAUACAGUGAGCAAGGGAAGAAAGUCAAAGAAAAGUAAAGGUUCGGCAAAGACGAAGCAGAAAGAUGCAGAUAAGAAUGAGUCUCUACCAGAGCCUGCAAAGGAAGGUGCUGAGAAUGAGGACAGCUCUAUGCGCAGUACGAGGUCGGCAAAGAAGAAGAAGAAAGACGCAGGUAAGGAGUCUCUGCAAGAGCCUGCAAAGGAAAAGGCCACUGGUGAUGGCAGUUCAACGCCGAGUAGAGGGGCGGCAGAUGAUACACCGAGCAAGAAAAGGAAGUCCAGUAAGAAGAGUUCAGCCAGGAACAGGAUCAUAGACACGUCCAUGGAUGCGAUGGAUGGCAUUUUGAGUGAGAGAAAAUCAGGGCGUAGGCUAAGGUCCAGCCACAAGAUUGUAGAGGCUUUGGAGGUUAUGAAAUGGCCGAGGAAGAAGGAUGCUGGUGAAACCACAAAGGUAAAAGAUAAAGAUGCUACUUUGCCCAAGGAGAACGAUCUAGGGCGUAGGGCGGGCUCUGCACGCCACAAGGAUAAAACCACAAUCACAAAGGAUGGGGAUGGACUUACAGUUUCUCCUCUCAAGAAAAGGUUGCACCUUGAUGUACUCUCAGCAACAGAGAAUCCGCCCUUCGCAGUCUCAGAGCUUGGCAGGAAGAAGAAGACGCUUAUUGAACUUCUGGCAGAGACAGCUACCCCUAACCCUUCAGCAGGUGGUAAGAGCAAGGCUCGAGCUGAGCGCCCCUUGCCUUCUUCAGUCCUGAAACCUGAGGCUACACCGAACACCAGAGGGAAGCGUUCUUUGCCUGCUUCUACUGAGACACCUGAGGAUCCAGGCCGUGAUAAGGAUACAAUGAAGACCAGAGAGAAGCGUUCUGUGGCCGCAUCAACCGAGAAACCUGAGCGUGAUACGAGAAGUACAUUGAAGUCUAGAGGAAAAAGUUCUUUGCCUUCUUCCGCCGAGGAACCUGAGGACCCAGACCGUGAUAAAAAUGAUACACUGAAGACUAGAGGGAAGCGUUCUUUGCCUGCAUCAGCUGAGAAACCUCAGGAUCCUGACCGCGGCACAAAGGGUACAGCGAAGACUAGGGGUAAACGCUCUCGGCCUGAAUCAACUGAGGAUCCUGACCGUGUUACAAAGGGUACAGCGAAGACUAAGGGGACAAGUUCUCUGCCUGAAUCAACUGAGGAACCAGAGGAUCCUGAUAACCUUGUUAUGAAGGAUACAAUGUACACCAGGAAACGAAAGAAGCUCGACACAUUGGGGGAUUUGUCUUCCCAGCCACAGCCUGUUUCUCCCAAGAGUUCCACGAAAUCUCGAGAAGUGAAGCGCAAAGCUGCUGGGCAGAAGUCACAGGCAUCUCCUGUUGUCAAAGCCAAUGUUGGCAUAUCAGGCGAUAUGUCUUCCCAGCCAGAGCCUGUCUCUUCCAAAAGGUCCGCAAGGCGCAAAGCUGCUGAACCGAAGCCACAGGAAACCCCUGUUGUCAAAGCUAACGGUGAAGCUUCUCAGACGAGGUCGCGUAGGGCCAAAAACAGUGAAGUAACUGUUCCAGACAAGCCUCCACGCUCUGUUAAGCCGGAUAAGGGCAAGAAAGGCGCCGUGGCAGAAGGCUCUCCGUCUUGUGGUGAAAUGCUGUCACAGCUUUGUGUCGGAGCAAGUGAUGUUGAGAAGAUGGCGAAGAUCACCCCUACGAGCGCUGGCUUCUUGACUGAUUUCCUGAAGAGCGCUCGUGCCUGUACUUCUGAUGUGGAGGAGGCAGCCAACACAGACUGCGAUGCUUCUAGUCCCAAUGCUGACAAGGAGAUACCUGAGAAGGCAGCAGCAGACAAAGUUUCUAGUCCCAAUGCUGACGAAGAGAUACCUGAGAAAGCAGCAGCAGACAAGAUUUCUAGUCCUCAUGCUGUCGAGAAGAUACCUGAGAAGGCAACAGACAAUGUUUCUAGUCCUCAUGCUGACUUGGAGGUGCCAGAGGAGGCUGCAGACAAAGUGUCUAGUCCUCAUGCUGACGAUGAGGUGAUACCUGAGGAGGCAGCAGGCAAAGUGUCUAGUCCUCAUGCUGAUGAUGAGGUGAUACCUGAGGAGGCAGCAGAGAAAGUUUCUAGUCCCAAUGCUGAUGAGGUGAUACCCGAGAAGGCAGCAAAUGAAGUUUCCAGUGUCCCUGCUGAUGAGGCGAUGAUACCUGAGAAGGCAGCAGAGAAAGUUUCUAGUCCUAAUGCUGAUGAGGCGAUACCUGAGGAGGCAGCAGACAAAGUUUCUAGUCCCCAUGCUGAUGAGGCGAUACCUGAGAAGGCAGCAGAUGAAGUUUCACUUGCCCCUGCCGACGCGGAGACACUUUUGAAGGUAAAAGAGGAAGUUUCUAGUCCCCUUGCUGACGAGGAGACACUUGAGAAGGCAACAACAGAGAAAGUUUCUAGUGCCACUGCCGACGAGGAGACACUUGAGACGGCAGCAACAGAGAAAGUUUCUAGUGCCCCUGCCGACGAGGAGACACCUGAGACGGCAGCAACAGAGAAAAUUUCUGAUGCCCCUGCCGGUGAGGAGACACUUGAGAAGGUAAAAGAGGAAGUUUCUAGUCCGCUUGCUGAUGAGGUGAUACCUGAGAAGACGGCAGAGAAAGUUUCUAGUCCCCCCCAUGCUGAUGAGGCGAUACCUGAGAAGGCAGCAGAUGAAGUUUCUAGCCCCCCUGCCGACGUGGAGACACCUGAGAAGGCAACAGAGAAAGUUUCUUGCCCCCCUGCCGACAAGGGGAUAGCUGAGAAGCCAGCAGACAAAGUGUCUAGUCCUCAUUGCUGA
This 4554-nucleotide ribosomal RNA is filed under the name Triticum aestivum (bread wheat). Its description in RNAcentral is "partial small subunit ribosomal RNA". Lineage: Eukaryota; Viridiplantae; Streptophyta; Magnoliopsida; Poales; Poaceae. The record is from RNAcentral.